GUGACUAUGUCCCAUACUUCUAUUGGAAAGUGUUGGCUAUGAGCUUAAAACUCUGCACCCUAUCUCAUGCUAUGUGACAUUCACAGCUAGCCUGUACAAGUCUAGUCAACAGCAGUAUAUUAGGAACUGUUGCCUAUGAGCUUAAAACUCUGCACCCUAUCUCAUGCUAUGUGACAUUCACAGCUAGCCAGUACAAGUCUAGUCAACAGCAGUAUAUUAGGAACUGUUGCCUAUGAGCUAACAAAUGAAGCACUUUAUGUUUUGUCUAUAAUAAUAAAUAAAUAAAUAAAAGAUUAAACAGUUAAACUAAUUUGCUCAAAAAACAGGUUCAUGUUUCAACUUUGAUAACAGGUUUUAGGAGAUGAAUCAUGAAAUUAGUUUAAUUGUGGGAUUUUGUAUUCAAGGAU
This 407-nucleotide long non-coding RNA is filed under the name Populus tremula. RNAcentral's name for it is "long non-coding RNA (PTRE_LNC000204)". Lineage: Eukaryota; Viridiplantae; Streptophyta; Magnoliopsida; Malpighiales; Salicaceae. The record is from RNAcentral.